GGACUACUAGGGUUUCUAAUCCUGUUUGCUCCCCUAGCUUUCGCUUCUCAGUGUCAGGAAUGCCCCAGAAGGCCGCCUUCGCCACGGGUGUUCCUCCUGAUAUCUACGCAUUUCACCACUACACCAGGAAUUCCACCUUCCUCUGACAUCCUCGAGCCCUGCAGUAUUGGACGGCGUCUCUGGGUUAAGCCCAGAGUUUUCACGCCCAACUUACAAAGCCACCUACAAGCGCUUUACGCCCAGUAAAUCCGGAUAACGCUCGUCACCUACGUAUUACCGCGGCUGCUGGCACUA
Molecule: unclassified non-coding RNA, 294 nt
Filed under: uncultured Anaerolineae bacterium
Lineage: Bacteria; Bacillati; Chloroflexota; Anaerolineae
Description: contains 16S-23S intergenic spacer region
Source: RNAcentral